RNAcentral lists this ribosomal RNA (697 nucleotides) under Rhodotorula mucilaginosa. RNAcentral describes it as "LSU rRNA". It matches the Rfam family "Eukaryotic large subunit ribosomal RNA", at positions 1 to 712 of the family's 3401-position model. Lineage: Eukaryota; Fungi; Basidiomycota; Microbotryomycetes; Sporidiobolales; Sporidiobolaceae. The record is from RNAcentral.
AUUAGAUCUCAAAUCAGGUAGGACUACCCGCUGAACUUAAGCAUAUCAAUAAGCGGAGGAAAAGAAACUAACAAGGAUUCCCCUAGUAGCGGCGAGCGAAGCGGGAAGAGCUCAAAUUUAUAAUCUGGCACCUUCGGUGUCCGAGUUGUAAUCUCUAGAAAUGUUUUCCGCGUUGGACCGCACACAAGUCUGUUGGAAUACAGCGGCAUAGUGGUGAGACCCCCGUAUAUGGUGCGGACGCCCAGCGCUUUGUGAUACAUUUUCGAAGAGUCGAGUUGUUUGGGAAUGCAGCUCAAAUUGGGUGGUAAAUUCCAUCUAAAGCUAAAUAUUGGCGAGAGACCGAUAGCGAACAAGUACCGUGAGGGAAAGAUGAAAAGCACUUUGGAAAGAGAGUUAACAGUACGUGAAAUUGUUGGAAGGGAAACGCUUGAAGUCAGACUUGCUUGCCGAGCAAUCGGUUUGCAGGCCAGCAUCAGUUUUCCGGGAUGGAUAAUGGUAGAGAGAAGGUAGCAGUUUCGGCUGUGUUAUAGCUCUCUGCUGGAUACAUCUUGGGGGACUGAGGAACGCAGUGUGCCUUUGGCGGGGGUUUCGACCUCUUCACACUUAGGAUGCUGGUGGAAUGGCUUUAAACGACCCGUCUUGAAACACGGACCAAGGAGUCUAACAUGCUUGCGAGUAUUUGGGUGUCAAACCCGGA